UACGAAGGGGGCUAGCGUUGUUCGGAAUUACUGGGCGUAAAGCGUGCGCAGGCGGUUUUGUAAGCCAGAUGUGAAAUCCCCGGGCUUAACCUGGGAAUGGCAUUUGGGACUGCAAGGCUGGAGUUUGGCAGAGGAGACUGGAAUUCCUGGUGUAGCAGUGAAAUGCGUAGAUAUCAGGAGGAACACCGAUGGCGAAGGCAGGUCUCUGGGCUGAAACUGACGCUCAUGCACGAAAGCGUGGGGAGCAAACAGG
Molecule: ribosomal RNA, 253 nt
Filed under: uncultured bacterium
Lineage: Bacteria
Description: partial 16S ribosomal RNA
Rfam family: Bacterial small subunit ribosomal RNA
Source: RNAcentral